AAAGUUGAAAAGAACUUUGAAGAGAGAGUUCAAGAGUACGUGAAACCGUUCAGGGGUAAACCUGAGAAACCCAAAAGAUCGAAUGGGGAGAUUCAUCGUCAGCUCAUUUUGUAUAUAUGCAGGUUAUGAUAUGGGUUACUACUUGUAGUAUUGCCUAUACAUUCUUGUAUAUUUCAUUGCAAAGUGUUGUCGGCGUGCACUUCUCCCCUAGUAGGACGUCGCGACCCGUUGAGUCUCGGUCUACGGCCCAAGUGGGAGCUUUUGAUAAAUUUUAUUUAUUCAAAAACCCUUGGUGUCUCCUGACUGGAACUCGGCGGUAUACGCAUGGUAUUGAGCCGCUUAUUAUAUUUGCGUUCUUGUCCAUCGCAAGCGAGGUUAGUUACUGAUAGUUCGGACCUAGUGCCGUCGUUGGUGCUGACCAGCUGUUGGCUGUAUGGAAUUCUAGAACUGGCUCUAUGAAAUACCGGUCAGCGAUGCUAUUGCUUUGGGUACUUUCAGGACCCGUCUUGAAACACGGACCAAGGAGUCUAACAUGUACGCGAGUCAUUGGGAUAAUUAUAAAUUAAACCUAAAGGCGUAAUGAAAGUAAAGGUCGACCUUGUGUCGACUGAGGGAAGAUGGGCUAUGUUAAGAUAUAGCUCCGCACUCCCGGGGCGUCUCAUUCUCAUUGCGAGAAGAGGCGCACCUAGAGCGUACACGUU
Molecule: ribosomal RNA, 701 nt
Filed under: Bracon sp.
Lineage: Eukaryota; Metazoa; Arthropoda; Insecta; Hymenoptera; Braconidae
Description: partial 28S ribosomal RNA
Rfam family: Eukaryotic large subunit ribosomal RNA
Source: RNAcentral